Molecule: ribosomal RNA, 397 nt
Filed under: uncultured bacterium
Lineage: Bacteria
Description: partial 16S ribosomal RNA
Rfam family: Bacterial small subunit ribosomal RNA
Source: RNAcentral
AUACGUAGGGAGCGAGCGUUGUCCGGAAUUACUGGGUGUAAAGGGUGCGUAGGCGGGACUGCAAGUCAGAUGUGAAAUGCCGGGGCUCAACCCCGGAGCUGCAUUUGAAACUGUGGUUCUUGAGUGAGGUAGAGGUAAGCGGAAUUCCUAGUGUAGCGGUGAAAUGCGUAGAUAUUAGGAGGAACAUCGGUGGCGAAGGCGGCUUACCGGGCCUUUACUGACGCUGAGGCACGAAAGCGUGGGGAGCAAACAGGAUUAGAUACCCUGGUAGUCCACGCUGUAAACGAUGAUGACUAGGUGUAGGGGGUAUCGACCCCUUCUGUGCCGCAGCAAACGCAAUAAGUAUCCCGCCUGGGGAGUACGAUCGCAAGGUUGAAACUCAAAUGAAUUGACGGGG